AGAAUCAACGCUGGCGGCGUGCCUAACACAUGCAAGUCGAACGAGAAAGUGGAGCAAUCCAUGAGUAAAGUGGCGCACGGGUGAGUAACACGUGACUAACCUACCCUUGAGUGGGGGAUAACCUAGAGAAAUCUGGGCUAAUACCGCAUAAUACCUUCGGGUCAAAGGAGCAAUUCGCUUAAGGAGGGGGUCGCGGCCGAUUAGUUAGUUGGCGGGGUAAUGGCCCACCAAGGCAUUGAUCGGUAGCCGGACUGAGAGGUUGGCCGGCCACACUGGAACUGAGACACGGUCCAGACUCCUACGGGAGGCAGCAGUGGGGAAUCUUGCACAAUGGACGAAAGUCUGAUGCAGCAACGCCGCGUGGGGGAUGAAGCUUCUCGGAGUGUAAACCCCUUUCGACCCGGAAGAAUGCCCGCAAGGGUUUGACGGUACGGGUAUAAGAACGCCCCGGCUAACGUACGUGCCAGCAGCCGC
Molecule: ribosomal RNA, 474 nt
Filed under: uncultured bacterium
Lineage: Bacteria
Description: SSU rRNA
Rfam family: Bacterial small subunit ribosomal RNA
Source: RNAcentral